RNAcentral lists this ribosomal RNA (137 nucleotides) under uncultured eukaryote. Its description in RNAcentral is "partial 18S ribosomal RNA". It matches the Rfam family "Eukaryotic small subunit ribosomal RNA", at positions 1299 to 1458 of the family's 1831-position model. The record is from RNAcentral.
UGGUGGGGUGACUUGUCUGCUUAAUUGCGAUAACGAACGAGACCUUAACCUGCUAAAUAGCCCGCAUUGAUCCGGCAGUGCGCUGGCUUCUUAGAGGGACUUUCGGCUCAAGCCGAAGGAAGUUUGAGGCAAUAACA